This 97-nucleotide non-coding RNA is filed under the name unclassified sequences. RNAcentral describes it as "PhotoRC-II RNA". It matches the Rfam family "PhotoRC-II RNA". The record is from RNAcentral.
CAACUUGGUGUAACACGCCUUACCGAGACUAAACAGCGUGUUUAAAAAACAGUCUCUCAUACCCACGAUGGAGGGUGUCGUGGGAAUACUAAUACCG